GCUUAGAAGCAGCCACUCAUUUAAAGAGUGCGUAAUAGCUCACUGGUCGAGUGAUUCUGCGCCGAAAAUUUCCGGGGCUAAAACUUACUACCGAAGCUACGGCAUCAUUAUGAUGGGUAGGGGAGCUUUCUAUACGGGUUGAAGCAUGACCGUAAGGACAUGUGGACUGUAUAGAAGUGAGAAUGUUGGCAUGAGUAGCGAGAUGUGGGUGAGAAUCCCACAGGCCGUAAACCCAAGGUUUCCAGGGGAAGGUUCGUCCGCCCUGGGUUAGUCAGGACCUAAGCCGAGGCCGAAAGGCGUAGGUGAUGGACAACAGGUUGAUAUUCCUGUACCACCAAUAACCGUUUGAGAAAUGGGAUGACACAGUAGGAUAAGCUAACCGCACUGUUGGUUAUGUGCGGGCAAGUAUUGAGGCAGUUCCGAUAGGCAAAUCCGUCGGAAUAAUGCUGGGGUACGAUGCGGAGCGAAAUUAAGUAGCGAAGUAGCUGAUUUCACACUGUCGAGAAAAGUCUCUAUCGAGGUUAAAGGUGCCUGUACCGCAAACCGACACAGGUGGGUGAGGAGAGUAUCCUAAGGCCAGCGAGAGAACUGUUGUUAAGGAACUCGGCAAAAUGACCCCGUAACUUAGGGAGAAGGGGUGCCUUCGAAAGAAGGCCGCAGAGAAUAGGCCCAAGCGACUGUUUACCAAAAACAUAGGUUUCUGCUAAGUCGCAAGACGAUGUAUAGGAGCUGACGCCUGCCCGGUGCUGGAAGGUUAAGGGGAUCUGUUAGAGCAAUCGAAGCAGUGAACUUAAGCCCCAGUAAACGGCGGCCGUAACUAUAACGGUCCUAAGGUAGCGAAAUUCCUUGUCGGGUAAGUUCCGACCCGCACGAAAGGCGUAACGAUUUGGGCACUGUCUCAACAACAGACUCGGUGAAAUUGUAAUACCGGUGAAGAUGCCGGUUACCUGCGACAGGACGGAAAGACCCCAUGGAGCUUUACUGUAGCUUGACAUUGAGUCUCGGUGCUACAUGUACAGGAUAGGUGGGAGACUAUGAAGCAUGGACGUCAGUCUGUGUGGAGUCAUCCUUGGGAUACCACCCUUGUAGUACUGGGAUUCUAACCAGAGGCCAUGAAUCUGGUCUUGGGACACUGUCAGGUGGACAGUUUGACUGGGGCGGUCGCCUCCCAAAAAGUAACGGAGGCGCUCAAAGGUUCUCUCAGUACGGUCGGAAAUCGUACGAAGAGUGUAAAGGCAAAAGAGAGCUUGAUUGCAAGACAUACAGGUCGAGCAAGGACGAAAGUCGGACUUAGUGAUCCGGUGGUUCCGCAUGGAAGGGCCAUCGCUCAACGGAUAAAAGCUACCCUGGGGAUAACAGGCUGAUCUCCCCCAA
This 1374-nucleotide ribosomal RNA is filed under the name human gut metagenome. RNAcentral's name for it is "bacterial LSU rRNA". It matches the Rfam family "Bacterial large subunit ribosomal RNA", at positions 1104 to 2495 of the family's 2925-position model. The record is from RNAcentral.